This 357-nucleotide ribosomal RNA is filed under the name uncultured bacterium. RNAcentral's name for it is "bacterial SSU rRNA". It matches the Rfam family "Bacterial small subunit ribosomal RNA", at positions 355 to 729 of the family's 1533-position model. The record is from RNAcentral.
UCGGGAAUUUUGGGCAAUGGGCGAAAGCCUGACCCAGCAACGCCGCGUGAAGGAUGAAGUAUUUCGGUAUGUAAACUUCGAAAGAAUAGGAAGAAUAAAUGACGGUACUAUUUAUAAGGUCCGGCUAACUACGUGCCAGCAGCCGCGGUAAUACGUAGGGACCAAGCGUUGUUCGGAUUUACUGGGCGUAAAGGGCGCGUAGGCGGCAAUUCAAGUCAUCUGUGAAAUCUCCGGGCUUAACUCGGAACGGUCAGAUGAUACUGCUUUGCUAGAGUGCAGAAGGGGCAAUCGGAAUUCUUGGUGUAGCGGUGAAAUGCGUAGAUAUCAAGAGGAACACCUGAGGUGAAGACGGGUUGC